GACGAACGCUGGCGGCGUGCUUAACACAUGCAAGUCGAACGGAAAGGCCCUGCUUUUGUGGGGUGCUCGAGUGGCGAACGGGUGAGUAACACGUGAGUAACCUGCCCUUGACUUUGGGAUAACUUCAGGAAACUGGGGCUAAUACCGGAUAGGAGCUCCUGCUGCAUGGUGAGGGUUGGAAAGUUUCGGCGGUUGGGGAUGGACUCGCGGCUUAUCAGCUUGUUGGUGGGGUAGUGGCUUACCAAGGCUUUGACGGGUAGCCGGCCUGAGAGGGUGACCGGCCACAUUGGGACUGAGAUACGGCCCAGACUCCUACGGGAGGCAGCAGUGGGGAAUAUUGCACAAUGGGCGGAAGCCUGAUGCAGCAACGCCGCGUGCGGGAUGACGGCCUUCGGGUUGUAAACCGCUUUCGCCUGUGACGAAGCGUGAGUGACGGUAAUGGGAAAAGAAGCACCGGCUAACUACGUG
This 468-nucleotide ribosomal RNA is filed under the name uncultured bacterium. RNAcentral describes it as "partial 16S ribosomal RNA". It matches the Rfam family "Bacterial small subunit ribosomal RNA", at positions 28 to 507 of the family's 1533-position model. The record is from RNAcentral.